CGGCCCGGGUCGAGGAAUCUCAAACCGGACGCCUUGUCCCGAGUCUACGUUCCUGCCAUUCGAGAUGACACUGACAUGCCUGUCCUUCCUGCUGCUAAGAUCGUGGCCCCGAUCUCGUGGCAAGUUGAGGAUACCGUGUGACGAGCUCAAGCUAUCGAACCGGGUCUGAAAGGAGGUCCUGCCAAUCGGUUGUUUGUCCCCAAGGCAGCGUGUGGGGGCACUCCUCUCACCUGUCACCCGGGCGUAGAUCGCACCUUGGAGUUCAUCCAGCGAAAGUUCUGGUGGCCCACCAUAAAAGAAGAUGUUGCCACUUUCGUCAAGGCCUGCCCCGUGUGCUGCCAGGGCAAAUCUUCUCACCUCCGCCCUCAAGGACUCCUUCACCCUUCACCUGUUCCACACCGACCUUGGUCCCAUAUCUCGUUGGACUUUAUUACUGGCCUUCCUCCGUCCCAUGGUAAUACUACUAUCCUAGUCAUCAUCGAUAGGUUUUCUAAGGCGGCCAGGUUCGUCCCCUUGACUAAGUUACCUUCUGCCAAGGAAACGGCUGAGUUGGUGAUUAACCAUGUGCUCCGAGUCUUUGGCAUUCCUCAAGAUAUGGUUUCCGACAGAGAUCCCCAGUUCGCCUAAAGGUUUUGGAAGGCCUUCUGCCAACUCAUAGGGGCCACUGCCAGUCUAUCUUCAGGGUACCACCCGGAGUCCAAUGGCCAAACAGAGAGGAUGAAUCAAGAGCUGGAAACCGCCCUCAGAUGUAUGGCCCUUAACAACCCGUCCACAUGGUCGUCCUUCAUUGUUUGGGCCGAAUACGCGCACAACACCUUGCGCUCCUCCUCCACUGGUAUGUCCCCGCACGAGAGUCAGUUUGGCUAUGCCCCUCCAUUGUUUCCGGACCAGGAGGCAGAAGUCGGAGUGCCUUCAGCCUUGAAGUUCGUCAGACGCUGUCGGCUUACGUGGAGGAAGACCCAUCUUAAUCUUCUGCGUUCCUCACAGCGGUACCAACAACAAGCCAACAGACGUCGCCAUCCCGGGCCUACCCUGCGCCCUGGCCAGAGAGUCUGGCUCUCCACAAAAAACUUACCGCUAUGGGUGGAGUCUCACAAGCUGUCCCAGAAAUACAUUGGUCCCUUUAAGGUUGCCAGGAGAGUGAACCCCGUUUCAUAUCGCCUACACUUACCCAGAUCCCUUAAGAUUAAUCCCACGUUUCACAUUUCCUUAUUAAAACCUGUUGUUUUUUCUCCCCUUGUCCCGGCAGACAGACCUCCCCCUCCGCCCCGUGUCAUCGGAGGCCAGCCGGCUUAUACCGUCCAUCGGAUACUGGAUUGCCGCCGGGUGCAGCGGUCCUGGCAGUAUCUGGUGGACUGGGAAGGGGUUUCUGCCAAAGACAUACUGGACCCUGACCUCAUUCGACAGUUCAGGGCCCUCCACCCCGAGAAAGCUGGUGGUGACAGUACUUCAUUGAAGAGACGUGGGAAUUGUGGAACUGCUGUUGAACUUCUCAUCAGGUCAUUCCCAACUCUUUCUGCCUCUUUUCCUUCAUCUCUGAACUCAUCAUUUUAGUUAUGUAUAUUUAAAAAAACUUUAUUUAACUAGGCAAGUCAGUUCAGAACAAAUUCUUAAUUAUAAUGUCGGUCUACCCCUGCCAAACUCUAUCCCGAACGACGUUGGGCCAAUUGUGCGCCGCCAUACGGGACUCCAAAAUCACGGCCUUACUUCUCAUUCCCUCUUUCUGGUCAUGCUUGAUUUGGCAAAUAUAUUUUCAUGUAUUUAUGUACUGAAACUUAAUGUAUAUAUGUUAUGUAAUAACAUGUAUGUACCCAUGGGGAGAGAAAUAAUAAAUUAAAUAUAAUUUAAA
Oncorhynchus nerka (sockeye salmon) is the source of this 1849-nucleotide long non-coding RNA. RefSeq lists it as uncharacterized. Lineage: Eukaryota; Metazoa; Chordata; Actinopteri; Salmoniformes; Salmonidae. The transcript has 2 exons. The record is from RefSeq and is a predicted model, not a curated record.